AGUUCUCAGAUAAUGUUAGUGUUAUUGAGGCUAUACUCCAUAGGGCAUCAGGUGAUAAGGAUGGCUCAUCUGAUGUUGAUCUCCAAGUGUUGAAUGAACUGCCAUCAAGUAUUGGGCUUAACAGAGAGGAUGUUGUGUUCGGGACCAGUGAAACAGCCGGUACUGCCUCAAGUUCAGGUUCUAAGAAAGUUGUUGAACAUGAAGAUGUAGAUGAUGU
Molecule: long non-coding RNA, 217 nt
Organism: Erigeron canadensis
Lineage: Eukaryota; Viridiplantae; Streptophyta; Magnoliopsida; Asterales; Asteraceae
Exons: 3
Source: RefSeq, a predicted model, not a curated record